This 225-nucleotide ribosomal RNA is filed under the name uncultured bacterium. Its description in RNAcentral is "partial 16S ribosomal RNA". It matches the Rfam family "Bacterial small subunit ribosomal RNA", at positions 116 to 334 of the family's 1533-position model. The record is from RNAcentral.
CGUAGGUAACCUGCCUUGUAGCGGGGGAGUAACUAUUGGAGACGAUAGCUAAUACCGCAUAACAAUGGAUGACACAUGUCAUUUAUUUGAAAGGGGGCAAUUGCUCCACUACAAGAUGGACCUGCGUUGUAUUAGCUAGUAGGUGAGGUAACGGCUCACCUAGGCGACGAUACAUAGCCGACCUGAGAGGGUGAUCGGCCACACUGGGACUGAGACACGGCCCAG